RNAcentral lists this ribosomal RNA (483 nucleotides) under uncultured bacterium. RNAcentral describes it as "partial 16S ribosomal RNA". It matches the Rfam family "Bacterial small subunit ribosomal RNA", at positions 28 to 507 of the family's 1533-position model. The record is from RNAcentral.
GAUGAACGCUGGCGGCGUGCCUAACAUAUGCAAGUCGAACGGAGUCGUUUUGGAAAUCUCUUCGGAGAUGGAAUUCUCGACUUAGUGGCGGACGGGUGAGUAACGCGUGAGCAAUCUGCCUUUAAGAGGGGGAUAACAGUCGGAAACGGCUGCUAAUACCGCAUAAAGCAUUAAAUUCGCAUGUUUUUGAUGCCAAAGGAGCAAUCCGCUUUUAGAUGAGCUCGCGUCUGAUUAGCUAGUUGGCGGGGUAACGGCCCACCAAGGCGACGAUCAGUAGCCGGACUGAGAGGUUGAACGGCCACAUUGGGACUGAGACACGGCACAGACUCCUACGGGAGGCAGCAGUGGGGAAUAUUGCGCAAUGGGGGAAACCCUGACGCAGCAACGCCGCGUGAUUGAAGAAGGCCUUCGGGGUGUAAAGAUCUUUAAUCAGGGACGAAACAAAUGACGGUACCUGAAGAAUAAGCUCCGGCUAACUACGUG